UUUCCUUUCUAGAGCUAAAAAGCCAGAACAUCAAGAUAUACCAGUGUGAGAAAAAUGGUUAAACGUCAAUGUGUCAGUGGUGCAAGAUUCUAGGAAAUAACAGUAAGUGAGGAGCCAGCACAAAGAGAAGUGGAAGAAACCAUUGUUUGUUCUGUUGUUAAUAUUGUUUGGAGUUUUUCUUUUUGACACGUUUUUACUCUGUAGUAUGGACUAGCCUGGAACUCAUAUGCAACUCAGACUUGUCUUGAACUUGUUACCAUCCUAGUGCUUCAGUCUCUUAUGCGCUGGGACUACAGCAACCUUCUCAGGCUGGACUUAAAAGAAGACAGAAGCUGUGAAUUUGCCAGAGAUCAUGGAGAGACUAUCUACAGCCAUUCCUUCCUUCCUGUAUGAGAACAAUUUUUAAGAAUACUAGAG
RNAcentral lists this long non-coding RNA (417 nucleotides) under Rattus norvegicus (Norway rat). Its description in RNAcentral is "long non-coding RNA NONRATT033397". Lineage: Eukaryota; Metazoa; Chordata; Mammalia; Rodentia; Muridae. The record is from RNAcentral.